RNAcentral lists this ribosomal RNA (255 nucleotides) under uncultured bacterium. Its description in RNAcentral is "partial 16S ribosomal RNA". It matches the Rfam family "Bacterial small subunit ribosomal RNA", at positions 524 to 776 of the family's 1533-position model. The record is from RNAcentral.
UACGGAGGAUCCAAGCGUUAUCCGGAAUUACUGGGCGUAAAGAGUUGCGUAGGCGGUUAAGUAAGUUAGUAGUGAAAGCGUGAGGCUCAACCUUAUACACAUUACUAAAACUGCUUUGACUAGAUCAUGAGAGAGGUACCUGGAAUUCCCUGUGUAGGAGUGAAAUCCGUAGAUAUAGGGAGGAACACCGAUGGCGUAGGCAGGGUACUGGCUCAUUGAUGACGCUCAGGCACGAAAGCGUGGGGAGCAAACGGG